This 71-nucleotide transfer RNA is filed under the name Marmota monax (woodchuck). RNAcentral's name for it is "tRNA.Ala". It matches the Rfam family "tRNA". From Rfam's summary of the family: Transfer RNA (tRNA) molecules are approximately 80 nucleotides in length. Their secondary structure includes four short double-helical elements and three loops (D, anti-codon, and T loops). Further hydrogen bonds mediate the characteristic L-shaped molecular structure. tRNAs have two regions of fundamental functional importance: the anti-codon, which is responsible for specific mRNA codon recognition, and the 3' end, to which the tRNAs corresponding amino acid is attached (by aminoacyl-tRNA synthetases). tRNAs cope with the degeneracy of the genetic code in two manners: having more than one tRNA (with a specific anti-codon) for a particular amino acid; and 'wobble' base-pairing, i.e. permitting non-standard base-pairing at the 3rd anti-codon position. The record is from RNAcentral. Lineage: Eukaryota; Metazoa; Chordata; Mammalia; Rodentia; Sciuridae.
GGGGAUGUGGCUCAGCGGUAGAGCACUCGCCUUGCACGUGUGUGGCCCUGGGUUCGAUCCUCAGCACCACA